RNAcentral lists this ribosomal RNA (253 nucleotides) under uncultured bacterium. RNAcentral describes it as "partial 16S ribosomal RNA". It matches the Rfam family "Bacterial small subunit ribosomal RNA", at positions 524 to 776 of the family's 1533-position model. The record is from RNAcentral.
UACGUAGGCAGCAAGCGCUGCUCGGAAUUACUGGGCGUAAAGGGUGCGUAGGCGGUUUUGUAAGUUUGGUGUGAAAUCUCCCGGCUUAACUGGGAGGGUGCGCCGAAAACUGCAAGGCUAGAGUGCAGGAGAGGAGAGUGGAAUUCCUGGUGUAGCGGUGAAAUGCGUAGAUAUCAGGAGGAACCCCGGUGGUGUAGACGGCUCUCUGGCCUGUUACUGUCGCUGAGGCACGAAAGCGUGGGGAGCAAACAGG